UAAGCGACUAAGCGUACACGGUGGAUGCCCUGGCAGUCAGAGGCGAUGAAGGACGUGCUAAUCUGCGAUAAGCGUCGGUAAGGUGAUAUGAACCGUUAUAACCGGCGAUUUCCGAAUGGGGAAACCCAGUGUGUUUCGACACACUAUCAUUAACUGAAUCCAUAGGUUAAUGAGGCGAACCGGGGGAACUGAAACAUCUAAGUACCCCGAGGAAAAGAAAUCAACCGAGAUUCCCCCAGUAGCGGCGAGCGAACGGGGAGCAGCCCAGAGCCUGAAUCAGUGUGUGUGUUAGUGGAAGCGUCUGGAAAGGCGCGCGAUACAGGGUGACAGCCCCGUACACAAAAAUGCACAUGCUGUGAGCUCGAUGAGUAGGGCGGGACACGUGGUAUCCUGUCUGAAUAUGGGGGGACCAUCCUCCAAGGCUAAAUACUCCUGACUGACCGAUAGUGAACCAGUACCGUGAGGGAAAGGCGAAAAGAACCCCGGCGAGGGGAGUGAAAAAGAACCUGAAACCGUGUACGUACAAGCAGUGGGAGCACGCUUAGGCGUGUGACUGCGUACCUUUUGUAUAAUGGGUCAGCGACUUAUAUUCUGUAGCAAGGUUAACCGAAUAGGGGAGCCGAAGGGAAACCGAGUCUUAACUGGGCGUUAAGUUGCAGGGUAUAGACCCGAAACCCGGUGAUCUAGCCAUGGGCAGGUUGAAGGUUGGGUAACACUAACUGGAGGACCGAACCGACUAAUGUUGAAAAAUUAGCGGAUGACUUGUGGCUGGGGGUGAAAGGCCAAUCAAACCGGGAGAUAGCUGGUUCUCCCCGAAAGCUAUUUAGGUAGCGCCUCGUGAAUUCAUCUCCGGGGGUAGAGCACUGUUUCGGCAAGGGGGUCAUCCCGACUUACCAACCCGAUGCAAACUGCGAAUACCGGAGAAUGUUAUCACGGGAGACACACGGCGGGUGCUAACGUCCGUCGUGAAGAGGGAAACAACCCAGACCGCCAGCUAAGGUCCCAAAGUCAUGGUUAAGUGGGAAACGAUGUGGGAAGGCCCAGACAGCCAGGAUGUUGGCUUAGAAGCAGCCAUCAUUUAAAGAAAGCGUAAUAGCUCACUGGUCGAGUCGGCCUGCGCGGAAGAUGUAACGGGGCUAAACCAUGCACCGAAGCUGCGGCAGCGACGCUUAUGCGUUGUUGGGUAGGGGAGCGUUCUGUAAGCCUGCGAAGGUGUGCUGUGAGGCAUGCUGGAGGUAUCAGAAGUGCGAAUGCUGACAUAAGUAACGAUAAAGCGGGUGAAAAGCCCGCUCGCCGGAAGACCAAGGGUUCCUGUCCAACGUUAAUCGGGGCAGGGUGAGUCGACCCCUAAGGCGAGGCCGAAAGGCGUAGUCGAUGGGAAACAGGUUAAUAUUCCUGUACUUGGUGUUACUGCGAAGGGGGGACGGAGAAGGCUAUGUUGGCCGGGCGACGGUUGUCCCGGUUUAAGCGUGUAGGCUGGUUUUCCAGGCAAAUCCGGAAAAUCAAGGCUGAGGCGUGAUGACGAGGCACUACGGUGCUGAAGCAACAAAUGCCCUGCUUCCAGGAAAAGCCUCUAAGCAUCAGGUAACAUCAAAUCGUACCCCAAACCGACACAGGUGGUCAGGUAGAGAAUACCAAGGCGCUUGAGAGAACUCGGGUGAAGGAACUAGGCAAAAUGGUGCCGUAACUUCGGGAGAAGGCACGCUGAUAUGUAGGUGAAGUCCCUUGCGGAUGGAGCUGAAAUCAGUCGAAGAUACCAGCUGGCUGCAACUGUUUAUUAAAAACACAGCACUGUGCAAACACGAAAGUGGACGUAUACGGUGUGACGCCUGCCCGGUGCCGGAAGGUUAAUUGAUGGGGUUAGCGGUAACGCGAAGCUCUUGAUCGAAGCCCCGGUAAACGGCGGCCGUAACUAUAACGGUCCUAAGGUAGCGAAAUUCCUUGUCGGGUAAGUUCCGACCUGCACGAAUGGCGUAAUGAUGGCCAGGCUGUCUCCACCCGAGACUCAGUGAAAUUGAACUCGCUGUGAAGAUGCAGUGUACCCGCGGCAAGACGGAAAGACCCCGUGAACCUUUACUAUAGCUUGACACUGAACAUUGAGCCUUGAUGUGUAGGAUAGGUGGGAGGCUUUGAAGUGUGGACGCCAGUCUGCAUGGAGCCGACCUUGAAAUACCACCCUUUAAUGUUUGAUGUUCUAACGUGGACCCGUAAUCCGGGUUGCGGACAGUGUCUGGUGGGUAGUUUGACUGGGGCGGUCUCCUCCUAAAGAGUAACGGAGGAGCACGAAGGUUGGCUAAUCCUGGUCGGACAACAGGAGGUUAGUGCAAUGGCAUAAGCCAGCUUGACUGCGAGCGUGACGGCGCGAGCAGGUGCGAAAGCAGGUCAUAGUGAUCCGGUGGUUCUGAAUGGAAGGGCCAUCGCUCAACGGAUAAAAGGUACUCCGGGGAUAACAGGCUGAUACCGCCCAAGAGUUCAUAUCGACGGCGGUGUUUGGCACCUCGAUGUCGGCUCAUCACAUCCUGGGGCUGAAGUAGGUCCCAAGGGUAUGGCUGUUCGCCAUUUAAAGUGGUACGCGAGCUGGGUUUAGAACGUCGUGAGACAGUUCGGUCCCUAUCUGCCGUGGGCGCUGGAGAACUGAGGGGGGCUGCUCCUAGUACGAGAGGACCGGAGUGGACGCAUCACUGGUGUUCGGGUUGUCAUGCCAAUGGCACUGCCCGGUAGCUAAAUGCGGAAGAGAUAAGUGCUGAAAGCAUCUAAGCACGAAACUUGCCCCGAGAUGAGUUCUCCCUGACUCCUUGAGAGUCCUGAAGGAACGUUGAAGACGACGACGUUGAUAGGCCGGGUGUGUAAGCGCAGCGAUGCGUUGAGCUAACCGGUACUAAUGAACCGUGAGGCUUAACCU
RNAcentral lists this ribosomal RNA (2902 nucleotides) under Escherichia coli 2-177-06_S3_C2. RNAcentral describes it as "bacterial LSU rRNA". It matches the Rfam family "Bacterial large subunit ribosomal RNA". The record is from RNAcentral. Lineage: Bacteria; Pseudomonadati; Pseudomonadota; Gammaproteobacteria; Enterobacterales; Enterobacteriaceae.